AUAUUGCGCAAUGGGGGAAACCCUGACGCAGCAACGCCGCGUGAGUGAGGAAGGUCUUCGGAUUGUAAAACUCUUUUCUUAGGGAAAAAUGGCUUUGUGGCUAAUAUCCACGAAGCGUGAUGGUACCUAAGGAAUAAGCACCGGCUAACUUCGUGCCAGCAGCCGCGGUAAUACGAAGGGUUCAAGCGUUGUUCGGAAUCAUUGGGCGUAAAGCGCGCGCAGGCGGAUCAGUAAGUCAGGUGUGAAAUCUCGGAGCUCAACUCCGAAAGUGCGCCUGAAACUACUAGUCUAGAAUGUCGGAGGGGGCAGGGGAAUUUCACGUGUAGGGGUAAAAUCCGUAGAGAUGUGAAGGAACACCGGAGGCGAAGGCGCCUGCCUGGACGACUAUUGACGCUGAGGCGCGAAAGCGUGGGGAGCAAACAGG
This 424-nucleotide ribosomal RNA is filed under the name uncultured bacterium. RNAcentral describes it as "bacterial SSU rRNA". It matches the Rfam family "Bacterial small subunit ribosomal RNA", at positions 361 to 776 of the family's 1533-position model. The record is from RNAcentral.